Molecule: non-coding RNA, 770 nt
Organism: Paramuricea clavata
Lineage: Eukaryota; Metazoa; Cnidaria; Anthozoa; Malacalcyonacea; Plexauridae
Source: the annotation of a GenBank genome assembly
CAGCGCAAGACGCCAUCCAGAAGAUAACAAGUGUAGAAAAGAUUCUCAACACCAGUGGCUUCAAGAUCAAAGAGUGGUAUUGUUCUUCCGCGCAGCUGCAAGACCAAGUGGACAAAGAAAUAAAAAUGACGCCCGAGUCCGAUUCAGCCUCAAGCAAUACGGUUUUGCCAUCGAAAGAGGAAUCGCCUACCGUGAGUAAUAUCAGUCUAGACGGAGAAGGAGGAGUAAAGACGCUUGGAGUUUCCUGGAAUCCGAACACCGAUACCAUUAACUUCGAAGUCAAGUCGAGUGAAACGGAAAUGUUCACGAAACGAGUGGUUCUGUCAAACAUAUCGCGAUUGUUUGAUCCCUUGGGACUUGCUUCAGCAGUUACAAUACGAGCACGGAUAGCACUCCAAGAAAUCUGGAAAUUGAAGAAAUUUGAUUGGGACGACCCUCUGCCGAAUGAGUCACAGCAGUCAUGGCAAAGGUUGUUUGAUGAUAUCAAGAAACUAAAAACGGUGCAAUUUCCUAGAUGCCUUCAACCCGAAAGUUCGUUUGGUUCACCGGAGUUACACGUUUUUGCUGAUGCCAGUAUCCUUGCUUAUGGGACAGCAGCCUACCUCGUCUGGCCCACCGCCAAUGGGAAAGAAGUCCGCCUUAUAUCAGCUAAAGCUCGAGUUGCACCCCUCCGUCAAACCACCAUCCCACGUUUGGAACUCAUGGCAGCCCUGUUAGCAUCUCGAUUAGCAAAGACCAUUCACGACGAGUUCAAAAUCAAGCCUUCAAGC